GGUUUCAUAGUGUAGUGGUUAUCACGUCUUUUUACACGCAGAAGGUCCUGGGCUCGAUCCCCAGUGAAACCA
Molecule: transfer RNA, 72 nt
Filed under: Pelobates cultripes (western spadefoot toad)
Lineage: Eukaryota; Metazoa; Chordata; Amphibia; Anura; Pelobatidae
Description: tRNA.Val
Rfam family: tRNA
About the family: Transfer RNA (tRNA) molecules are approximately 80 nucleotides in length. Their secondary structure includes four short double-helical elements and three loops (D, anti-codon, and T loops). Further hydrogen bonds mediate the characteristic L-shaped molecular structure. tRNAs have two regions of fundamental functional importance: the anti-codon, which is responsible for specific mRNA codon recognition, and the 3' end, to which the tRNAs corresponding amino acid is attached (by aminoacyl-tRNA synthetases). tRNAs cope with the degeneracy of the genetic code in two manners: having more than one tRNA (with a specific anti-codon) for a particular amino acid; and 'wobble' base-pairing, i.e. permitting non-standard base-pairing at the 3rd anti-codon position.
Source: RNAcentral